AAGAGCAGCCAACAUGGCGGCGGAACGCGGCGCGGGGCAGCAACAGUCGCAGGAGAUGAUGGAGGUUGACAGGCGGGUCGAGUCUGAAGAAUCCGGCGAUGAAGAAGGGAAGAAACACAGCAGCGGCAUCGUGGCCGACCUCAGUGAACAGAGCCUGAAGGAUGGGGAGGAGCGGGGGGAGGAGGACCCAGAAGAAGAACAUGAGCUGCCUGUGGACAUGGAAACCAUCAACCUGGACAGAGAUGCAGAGGAUGUUGAUUUGAAUCACUAUCGCAUAGGGAAGAUUGAAGGAUUUGAGGUACUGAAGAAAGUGAAGGUGAGAGGGACUCUCAUGAGGGGACUAUGACGCUCACCCAUAGGAUGUGGAUAAGUCCAGAAUCCAGCAAUCAGUCCUGAGUUGUGGUCCUUGUCCCAGCCUGUGGGCGGCGUGGCUGCCUCCACCUUGUAGCAGGCCUUUCUUUACUGGGAGCACAGCAGGUGUGAGACAGCAGUGGAGGGACUUGAGGCACAGCCCUGGGGCUGGCUCUCCUGAGCCCAGGCAGCCAGUGACCUGUGACUCUG
This 561-nucleotide small RNA is filed under the name Pan troglodytes (chimpanzee). RNAcentral describes it as "retained intron". Lineage: Eukaryota; Metazoa; Chordata; Mammalia; Primates; Hominidae. The record is from RNAcentral.